Molecule: ribosomal RNA, 887 nt
Filed under: uncultured bacterium
Lineage: Bacteria
Description: bacterial SSU rRNA
Rfam family: Bacterial small subunit ribosomal RNA
Source: RNAcentral
AGGACGAACGCUGGCGGCGUGGUUAACACAUGCAAGUGGUGCGACGAACCAGGGCUUGCCCUGGGGCAAAGCCGCGAACGGGUGAGUAACACGUGGGUAACCUGCCCCGAUGACUGGGACAACCCGAGGAAACUCGGGCUAAUACCGGAUGUGGCGCCUUGGCACAAGCCUUGGCGCUAAAGGAAGCUUCGGCCUCCGCAUUGGGAGGGGCCCGCGGCCCAUUAGCUUGUUGGUGGGGUAACGGCCUACCAAGGCAACGAUGGGUAGCUGGUCUGAGAGGACGAUCAGCCACACUGGGACUGAGACACGGCCCAGACUCCUACGGGAGGCAGCAGUGGGGAAUCUUGCGCAAUGCGCGAAAGCGUGACGCAGCAACGCCGCGUGGGGGAAGAAUGCCUUCGGGUUGUAAACCCCUUUCAGGAGGGACGAAGGUUCGCCGGUGAACAGCCGUGCGGAUUGACGGUACCUCCACAAGAAGCUCCGGCUAACUACGUGCCAGCAGCCGCGGUAAUACGUAGGGAGCAAGCGUUGUCCGGAAUCAUUGGGCGUAAAGCGCGCGUAGGCGGCCCUGUAAGUCCGCUGUGAAAGUCAAAGGCUCAACCUUUGAAAGCCGGUGGAUACUGUGGGGCUAGAGUACGGAAGAGGCGAGUGGAAUUCCUGGUGUAGCGGUGGAAUGCGCAGAUAUCAGGAGGAACACCAAUAGCGAAGGCAGCUCGCUGGGACGUCACUGACGCUGAGGCGCGAAAGCGUGGGGAGCGAACAGGAUUAGAUACCCUGGUAGUCCACGCCGUAAACGAUGGGCACUAGGUGUGGGAGGUGUCGACUCCUCCCGUGCCGUCGCUAACGCACUAAGUGCCCCGCCUGGGGAGUACGGCCGCAAGGCUAAA